UACGAAGGGGGCUAGCGUUGCUCGGAAUCACUGGGCGUAAAGCGCACGUAGGCGGACUCUUAAGUCGGUGGUGAAAUCCUGGAGCUCAACUCCAGAACUGCCUUCGAUACUGAGAGUCUCGAGUCCGAGAGAGGUGAGUGGAACUGCGAGUGUAGAGGUGAAAUUCGUAGAUAUUCGCAAGAACACCAGUGGCGAAGGCGGCUUACUGGUCCGGUUCUGACGCUGAGGCGCGAAAGCCAGGGGAGCAAACGGG
This 253-nucleotide ribosomal RNA is filed under the name uncultured bacterium. Its description in RNAcentral is "partial 16S ribosomal RNA". It matches the Rfam family "Bacterial small subunit ribosomal RNA", at positions 524 to 776 of the family's 1533-position model. The record is from RNAcentral.